UGUUCCUUACAAGGUGCUGACCAAGUGUUGUUACUUUGUAGCUGUUCCAUCAUCCAAAAUGGCCGCCAGUGAAGGACUUAGUUUAACAUAGGACCCUACGGGAAAUGCAUACAAAUGACUUCUUUUAGAGAACCACUGAAUGGAAUGAAACAAAACAUAGCAUGAAUGUUCAUUAGGAGGUGCUGACCAAGUGUUGUUACUUUGUAGCCGAUCCAUCAUCCAAGAUGGCCGCCAGCGGGGGACUUAGUUUAACAUAGGACCCUAUGGGAAAUGCAUACAAAUGACUUCUUUUAGAGAACCACUGAAUGGAAUGUAACAAAACAUAGCAUGAAUGUUCCUUACAAGGUGCUGACCAAGUGUUGUUACUUUGUAGCUGUUCCAUCAUCCAAAAUGGCCGCCAGUGAGGGACUUAGUUUAACAUAGGACCCUAUGGGAAAUGCAUACAAAUGACUUCUUUUAGAGAACCACUGAAUGGAAUGAAACAAAACAUAGCAUGAAUGUUCAUUAGGAGGUGCUGACCAAGUGUUGUUACUUUGUAGCUGUUCCAUCAUCCAAAAUGGCCGCCAGUGAGGGACUUAGUUUAACAUAGGACCCUAUGGGAAAUGCAUACAAAUGACUUCUUUUAGAGAACCACUGAAUGGAAUGAAACAAAACAUAGCAUGAAUGUUCAUUAGGAGGUGCUGACCAAGUGUUGUUACUUUGUAGCUGAUCCAUCAUCCAAGAUGGCCGCCAGCGGAGGACUUAGUUUAACAUAGGACCUUAUGGGAAAUGCAUACAAAUGACUUCUUUUAGAGAACCACUGAAUGGAAUGAAACCAAACAUGGCAUGAAUGUUCCUUAUGAGGUGCUGACCAAGUGUUGUUACUUUGUAGCCGAUCCAUCAUCCAAGAUGGCCGCCAGCAGGGGACUUAGUUUAACAUAGGACCCUAUGGGAAAUGCAUACAAAUGACUUCUUUUAGAGAACCACUGAAUGGAAUGAAACCAAACAUGGCAUGAAUGUUCCUUAUGAGGUGCUGACCAAGUGUUGUUACUUUGUAGCCGAUCCAUCAUCCAAGAUGGCCGCCAGCGGAGGACUUAGUUUAACAUAGGACCUUAUGGGAAAUACAUAAAAAUGUCUUCUUUUAGAGAACCACUGAAUGGAAUUGAACCAAACAUGGCAUGAAUGUUCCUUAUGAGAUGCUGACCAAGUGUUGUUACUUUCCAGUUGGUCUAUCAUCCAAGAUGGCCGCCAGCAGGGGACUUAGUUUAACAUAGGACCCUAUGGGAAAUACAUACAAAUGCUUCUUUUAGAGAACCACUGAAUGGAAUGAAACCAAACAUGGCAUGAAUGUC
Molecule: long non-coding RNA, 1331 nt
Organism: Mytilus californianus (California mussel)
Lineage: Eukaryota; Metazoa; Mollusca; Bivalvia; Mytilida; Mytilidae
Exons: 3
Source: RefSeq, a predicted model, not a curated record